GGUCCCGUAGCUCAUCAGGAUAGAGCGACAGAUUCCUAAUCUGUAGGUAGUAGGUUCGAGUCCUACCGGGAUCACCA
RNAcentral lists this transfer RNA (77 nucleotides) under Parvularcula maris. RNAcentral's name for it is "tRNA-Arg". It matches the Rfam family "tRNA". From Rfam's summary of the family: Transfer RNA (tRNA) molecules are approximately 80 nucleotides in length. Their secondary structure includes four short double-helical elements and three loops (D, anti-codon, and T loops). Further hydrogen bonds mediate the characteristic L-shaped molecular structure. tRNAs have two regions of fundamental functional importance: the anti-codon, which is responsible for specific mRNA codon recognition, and the 3' end, to which the tRNAs corresponding amino acid is attached (by aminoacyl-tRNA synthetases). tRNAs cope with the degeneracy of the genetic code in two manners: having more than one tRNA (with a specific anti-codon) for a particular amino acid; and 'wobble' base-pairing, i.e. permitting non-standard base-pairing at the 3rd anti-codon position. Lineage: Bacteria; Pseudomonadati; Pseudomonadota; Alphaproteobacteria; Parvularculales; Parvularculaceae. The record is from RNAcentral.